GACGAACGCUGGCGUCGUGCUUAACACAUGCAAGUCGAACGGAAAGGCCCUGCUUUUGUGGGGUGCUCGAGUGGCGAACGGGUGAGUAACACGUGAGUAACCUGCCCUUGACUUUGGGAUAACUUCAGGAAACUGGGGCUAAUACCGGAUAGGAGCUCCUGCUGCAUGGUGGGGGUUGGAAAGUUUCGGCGGUUGGGGAUGGACUCGCGGCUUAUCAGCUUGUUGGUGGGGUAGUGGCUUACCAAGGCUUUGACGGGUAGCCGGCCUGAGAGGGUGACCGGCCACAUUGGGACUGAGAUACGGCCCAGACUCCUACGGGAGGCAGCAGUGGGGAAUGUUGCACAAUGGGCGGAAGCCUGAUGCAGCAACGCCGCGUGCGGGAUGACGGCCUUCGGGUUGUAAACCGCUUUCGCCUGUGACGAAGCGUGAGUGACGGUAAUGGGUAAAGAAGCACCGGCUAACUACGUG
Molecule: ribosomal RNA, 468 nt
Filed under: uncultured bacterium
Lineage: Bacteria
Description: partial 16S ribosomal RNA
Rfam family: Bacterial small subunit ribosomal RNA
Source: RNAcentral